This 634-nucleotide ribosomal RNA is filed under the name Nebria complanata. Its description in RNAcentral is "partial large subunit ribosomal RNA". It matches the Rfam family "Bacterial large subunit ribosomal RNA", at positions 1828 to 2734 of the family's 2925-position model. The record is from RNAcentral. Lineage: Eukaryota; Metazoa; Arthropoda; Insecta; Coleoptera; Carabidae.
GUCCUUUAGAGUUUAAUUUAAGGUCUAACCUGCCCACUGAAUUUGAUUUUAAAUGGCCGCAGUAAUUUGACUGUGCAAAGGUAGCAUAAUCAUUAGUUUUUUAAUUAAAAGCUUGUAUGAAGGGUUGGACGAGGUAAAAUCUGUCUCUGAUUAAUUUAAUUUAGAAUUUAACUUUUAAGUAAAAAGGCUUAAAUUUUUUUAAAAGACGAGAAGACCCUAUAGAUCUUUAUAAUUUAUUAAAUAAAUUUAAUUAAGAAAUUUUAUAGUUUUAUUAAAUAAAUUAUUUUAUUGGGGUAAUAUAAAGAUUAAUAAAAUUCUUUUUUUUUGUUAACAUUAAUAUAUGAUUAUAUGAUCCAAUUUUAUUGAAUAUAAGAUUAAGUUACCUUAGGGAUAACAGCGUAAUUUUUUUAGAGAGUUCUUAUCGAUAAAAAAGUUUGCGACCUCGAUGUUGGAUUAAAGAUUAUUUUAGGUGCAAAAGUUUAAAAAUUUGGUCUGUUCGACCAUUAAAUCUUUACAUGAUCUGAGUUCAGACCGGUGUAAGCCAGGUCGGUUUCUAUCUUUAAAAGAAUAAAAUAUUUUAGUACGAAAGGACCAAUUAUUUAAUAUAAAAUAUUUAAAUUUUGAUUAUUAUUAA